CCUACGGGAGGCAGCAGUGAGGAAUAUUGGUCAAUGGGCGAGAGCCUGAACCAGCCAAGUCGCGUGAGGGAGUACUGCCCUAUGGGUUGUAAACCUCUUUUGUCGGGGAGCAAAAGCCGGACGUGUCCGGCUGUGAGAGUACCCGAGGAAAAAGCAUCGGCUAACUCCGUGCCAGCAGCCGCGGUAAUACGGAGGAUGCGAGCGUUAUCCGGGUUUAUUGGGUGUAAAGGGUGCGCAGGCGGAUUUUUAAGUCAGCGGUAAAAUCGUGGGGCUCAACCCCAUCCAGCCGUUGAAACUGGGGAUCUAGAGUGUGCGAGAGGUAUGCGGAAUGCGUGGUGUAGCGGUGAAAUGCAUAGAUAUCACGCAGAACCCCGAUUGCGAAGGCAGCAUACCGGUGCACAACUGACGCUCAGGCACGAAAGCGUGGGUAUCGAACAGGAUUAGAUACCCCAGUAGUC
This 458-nucleotide ribosomal RNA is filed under the name uncultured bacterium. RNAcentral describes it as "partial 16S ribosomal RNA". It matches the Rfam family "Bacterial small subunit ribosomal RNA", at positions 338 to 795 of the family's 1533-position model. The record is from RNAcentral.